UUUCAGGAAAGCUAGGGUUCCGGUUUCAUUUGUAAUUUUCAUUACAUGAAACGUCUGGUCCGAGAGCGUUCCGGCCGCCAUCCAUUUGGCAGCUCCACGGCGGGACAAAAGCCCGGGAGGU
This 121-nucleotide small RNA is filed under the name Amantichitinum ursilacus. RNAcentral describes it as "Guanidine-I sequence". It matches the Rfam family "Guanidine-I riboswitch aptamer". From Rfam's summary of the family: This family represents a conserved RNA structure found upstream of the ykkC and yxkD genes in Bacillus subtilis and related genes in other bacteria. The function of this family is unclear although it has been suggested that it may function to switch on efflux pumps and detoxification systems in response to harmful environmental molecules. Lineage: Bacteria; Pseudomonadati; Pseudomonadota; Betaproteobacteria; Neisseriales; Chitinibacteraceae. The record is from Rfam by way of RNAcentral.